GGAAAAACCGUUACUAACAAACAUUCAAGCGCAAGCAGCGGCACUCAGUGGAGCAGCACGAAAAUCUGAGAGGGCGCUGCGAGCUACAUUGAGUGCUUGGUCACGUGCCACUACUUCAUUCGUGAGGAACCUGGACGACAGACGCUAUUAUCAUCAAUUCUCAAAAGAGACACCAUUGUCCCUAUCGAGGACUUCUUAUUGAUAUUUCACCUGGAUCAAUCUCAAGACAACAUAUUGCUUGUUUGUAGCAACAUAUUGUAGCAAUAAAAAAAAAGACUUGAGAGAAGAGAUUUUUUUUUCUUUGAAAGGACAAAGCAAACAAGAUAAAAAAUAAUUCAAGGUAUGCAACAGGCGAACACAACAAGAUGUCUUCAGCCCUUGUUACCAAAUACCAGUUCUUGAGAGUAAAGACUGGCAGAGGAUGUGCUUAAAAACAAAUUCCAAAAGAGAAAGAUCACCUUUGAUUAAUGUUGAAGAAAUAAAUUAAAUUUGCUGCAGGUUCAGCAAAGAAAACAGAUCAUUUUACCAGGAGUCCAUCAAAAAUAUGGCAGCCAUUGUAGAGAUGGAUGAUCUAUCUGGCCAAGAUUUGUAUCAAAAGAGGCCAAGGCCAGUAGGGGUAAGUGUCACAGACAGAGUCUGGUGGCACAGACAGUGAUCAACGAGUGCCAAAGAAGAGCAGUUGGAGUAGAUAUUGUUACUGAGUUGAAUGAAGAAAAACAAAUCUGCGUUGGUUUUGCACACAAAGGUCUCAAUUUUUGCUGCUGUCCUGCUGUUUCCACUUCUAUUAAAGGAGAGUCAGAGAUCUCUUCAUGUCAUCAGUGAGGAACCACAUACACCCAACACGGUGCUGUUUAUAAAGGAACGUGCCUUGAAUGCAGAGUCUCUUUUAGAAAUAACGAUGGAAGGGGAGGAGGAGGUCUGAGAAGUAGACGAUGUGAACACAGCUCUACACUUCAUCUUCAACACUGAAUAUGCUUCAAAGUUCAGAGACACCCUGACAUUCAUUGAAAACUGUUUAAUAUAUCAUAAUGCCAAAACCAAUAUGCCAGCCACAAUGGCCAUUUUUUUUUUAUUAAAUUAAUGUAUAUGUAUAUAAAUGCAUGAUGUUGAUUGUUGUUUAUUUAUUAAUGUGUUUGUUGGUUUGUUUGUAACACAUAUUUAUGUUUGAUUGUUGUUUAUUUAUUUAUUUAUG
Onychostoma macrolepis is the source of this 1192-nucleotide long non-coding RNA. RefSeq lists it as uncharacterized. The record is from RefSeq and is a predicted model, not a curated record. The transcript is spliced from 7 exons. Lineage: Eukaryota; Metazoa; Chordata; Actinopteri; Cypriniformes; Cyprinidae.